RNAcentral lists this transfer RNA (88 nucleotides) under Burkholderiales bacterium. RNAcentral describes it as "tRNA-Met". The record is from RNAcentral. Lineage: Bacteria; Pseudomonadati; Pseudomonadota; Betaproteobacteria; Burkholderiales.
UGCGAGGCCCGUUUGGCCGCAAACUACAUGGUGCAAAGUGGGUGGGCUCAUGACCCAGUCGCAGGUUCAAAUCCUGCCCUCGCAACCA